Molecule: transfer RNA, 76 nt
Filed under: Camelus bactrianus (Bactrian camel)
Lineage: Eukaryota; Metazoa; Chordata; Mammalia; Artiodactyla; Camelidae
Also listed under: 2 other names
Rfam family: tRNA
About the family: Transfer RNA (tRNA) molecules are approximately 80 nucleotides in length. Their secondary structure includes four short double-helical elements and three loops (D, anti-codon, and T loops).
Source: Rfam by way of RNAcentral
GUGGGGAUAGCUCAGUGGUAGAGUAACUGCAUGCUUUGCAUGCAUGAGGUUCUGGGUUCAAUCCCCAGUACCUCCA